CUUCAUUUUAAGCUUGAUUAAGUGAGAUCUAAGAUUUCCUUGUGUUUUUUAUUGUUAUGUUGCAUUGUAUUUUGUAACUUUGUGUUAUUAUGUUCAAUGUUUUAAUUGGGUGUUCCACAUUCGCAACUAACAUUCUUCUUUCUGUGUUUCCUUUUUCUUCCUGUUCUUCUCCUAUUGUAGACUGCCAAAGUGAAUGACCCUGUCAUCCUGUUUUCCAGGACCUAGAACACCAGCUGUUAUAGAACCUCAGUUACUUUGAUGUUUUGCCCUUGUUACAGCUGGUAAAACAAUGUUUGAGUUGUAGUUUUACAGUGUUUGGAGAUCUGUCCAUUUGCCAUGCCUUGUCUAGUGAAUAACUGAUAAUAUGUAACCCUCCGGUAGUUUUUGGAGUAUAACUACUACUACGUUCGACUAGCCAAUAUACAAAAAGUUUUAGCUUAAAAAAUCUUUGAUGGUAAUAAUGAAAGGACCAGUUACUUGGUGUUUAUUUAUUAGGUGCUAGCAGCAAAGCAGGUAAUGCAGAGGCGGCUCUCUUAUUAGGCGAUUUAGGCAGCCAACUAAUGCCUUGCAGUGAUGGGGUCUUUGUGUCUGCCUAAAUCGUCUCACGGUAGUCUACCAUGUCAGAUCCUCGGUCACAGACAUGGUAGUCACAGACCGAGGACCCGACACAGGAGGGGGCCUCGCGGCUUAGCCAUAAUGCUGCCGGGUGAGAGGCCCCUCCGGUCAUUCUGACCGUGAGAGAGCCAGCCUCCUGUCUGCAGCUCCAACGGGCGUGAGCUGCAGACUGAAGUGUCUCGCGAUCUCCGGCCUGUCAGAACAUUGUCGCGGGUUACCAUAGCAAUGCUCUGACUGGAGAUUGCGAGAAUUACCA
Molecule: non-coding RNA, 871 nt
Organism: Pelobates cultripes (western spadefoot toad)
Lineage: Eukaryota; Metazoa; Chordata; Amphibia; Anura; Pelobatidae
Source: the annotation of a GenBank genome assembly